UACGGGGGGGGCAAGCGUUGUUCGGAAUUACUGGGCGUAAAGGGCGCGUAGGCGGUGCUCUAAGUUAGAUGUGAAAACUCUGGGCUCAACCCAGAGCCUGCAUCUAAAACUGGAGUGCUAGAGUUCUGGAGGGGGUAGCGGAAUUCCUGGUGUAGCGGUGAAAUGCGUAGAGAUCAUGAGGAAGACCAGUGGCGAAGGCGGGUCUCUGGACAGUUCCUGACACUGAGACACGAAGGCCAGGGGAGCAAACGGG
This 253-nucleotide ribosomal RNA is filed under the name uncultured bacterium. Its description in RNAcentral is "partial 16S ribosomal RNA". It matches the Rfam family "Bacterial small subunit ribosomal RNA", at positions 524 to 776 of the family's 1533-position model. The record is from RNAcentral.